This is a non-coding RNA of Podarcis lilfordi (Lilford's wall lizard), 96 nucleotides long. NCBI's taxonomy places the organism in Eukaryota, Metazoa, Chordata, Lepidosauria, Squamata, Lacertidae. The record is from the annotation of a GenBank genome assembly.
ACCUUAGAGACCAACUAAGUUUGUUCUGGGUAUAAGCUUUUGUGUGCAUGCACAUGAAAGCUUAUACCCAGAACAAACUUAGUUGGUCUCUAAGGU